GCCCGUAUAGUAUAUUGGUUAGUAUACGACCCUGUCGAGGUCGUGGGUCGGGUUCGAUUCCCGGUGCGGGCG
This 72-nucleotide transfer RNA is filed under the name Candidatus Iainarchaeum sp. RNAcentral's name for it is "tRNA-Asp". It matches the Rfam family "tRNA". Rfam says of the family: Transfer RNA (tRNA) molecules are approximately 80 nucleotides in length. Their secondary structure includes four short double-helical elements and three loops (D, anti-codon, and T loops). Lineage: Archaea; Nanobdellati; Candidatus Iainarchaeota; Candidatus Iainarchaeia; Candidatus Iainarchaeales; Candidatus Iainarchaeaceae. The record is from RNAcentral.